Non-coding RNA from Lyophyllum atratum, 81 nucleotides. NCBI's taxonomy places the organism in Eukaryota, Fungi, Basidiomycota, Agaricomycetes, Agaricales, Lyophyllaceae. The record is from the annotation of a GenBank genome assembly.
GCAUUGGUAGUGUAGCGGUUAUCAUUGGGUCUUCCCACUGGGAAUUUGGCCUAGACCCGGGUUCGACUCCCGGCCAAUGCA